RNAcentral lists this ribosomal RNA (216 nucleotides) under uncultured bacterium. RNAcentral describes it as "partial 16S ribosomal RNA". It matches the Rfam family "Bacterial small subunit ribosomal RNA", at positions 524 to 738 of the family's 1533-position model. The record is from RNAcentral.
UACGGGGGGGGGCAAGCGUUGUUCGGAAUUACUGGGCGUAAAGGGCUCGUAGGCGGCCAACUAAGUCAAACGUGAAAUCCCUCAGCUUAACUGGGGAACUGCGUGUGAGACUGGCAGGCUCGAGGGCAGGAGAGGAACGCGGAAUUCCAGGUGUAGCGGUGAAAUGCGUAGAUAUCGUUUGGAACGCCAAUGGUGAAAACAGGUUGCUGGGGGAUG